GGAGCUUUCUGUUAUUAGUUGAAGGGGGGAAAGAGACCAAACUCACUCAUGAAUUCCUCCUAAUUGUUGCCAGGCAAAGAACCAGAUCCAGCCUUCUUCCAAAUCUCAACCCAUUCGACCAUGGCUUCAGCAGCACGAGCGUACAUUGGAUUGGAACGGCCAAGCUGCUCCCUUACUGCCUUCGCAAUCUCGAGGAGACAGGCUUCAGCUGUAACUGCUGCUUCUGGUAGCCUAAGAGUUUGAAAGAAUGGAACAACUUCUUCCAUC
RNAcentral lists this unclassified non-coding RNA (267 nucleotides) under Hevea brasiliensis (rubber tree). Lineage: Eukaryota; Viridiplantae; Streptophyta; Magnoliopsida; Malpighiales; Euphorbiaceae. The record is from RNAcentral.